CGGGGUGUGGCUCAGUUGGUAGAGCGCUCGCUUCGGGUGCGAGAGGUCGGCGGUUCGAAUCCGCCCACCCCGACCA
Molecule: transfer RNA, 76 nt
Filed under: candidate division WWE3 bacterium RIFCSPHIGHO2_01_FULL_48_15
Lineage: Bacteria; candidate division WWE3
Description: tRNA-Pro
Rfam family: tRNA
About the family: Transfer RNA (tRNA) molecules are approximately 80 nucleotides in length. Their secondary structure includes four short double-helical elements and three loops (D, anti-codon, and T loops).
Source: RNAcentral